This 486-nucleotide ribosomal RNA is filed under the name uncultured bacterium. RNAcentral describes it as "partial 16S ribosomal RNA". It matches the Rfam family "Bacterial small subunit ribosomal RNA", at positions 30 to 507 of the family's 1533-position model. The record is from RNAcentral.
AUUGAACGCUGGCGGCAUGCCUUACACAUGCAAGUCGAACGGCAGCACGGGUGCUUGCACCUGGUGGCGAGUGGCGAACGGGUGAGUAAUACAUCGGAACAUGUCCUGUAGUGGGGGAUAGCCCGGCGAAAGCCGGAUUAAUACCGCAUACGAUCUACGGAUGAAAGCGGGGGACCUUCGGGCCUCGCGCUAUAGGGUUGGCCGAUGGCUGAUUAGCUAGUUGGUGGGGUAAAGGCCUACCAAGGCGACGAUCAGUAGCUGGUCUGAGAGGCCGACCAGCCACACUGGGACUGAGACACGGCCCAGACUCCUACGGGAGGCAGCAGUGGGGAAUUUUGGACAAUGGGCGAAAGCCUGAUCCAGCAAUGCCGCGUGUGUGAAGAAGGCCUUCGGGUUGUAAAGCACUUUUGUCCGGAAAGAAAUCCUUGGCCCUAAUACGGUCGGGGGAUGACGGUACCGGAAGAAUAAGCACCGGCUAACUACGUG